This is a long non-coding RNA of Hippocampus comes (tiger tail seahorse), 211 nucleotides long. RefSeq lists it as uncharacterized. NCBI's taxonomy places the organism in Eukaryota, Metazoa, Chordata, Actinopteri, Syngnathiformes, Syngnathidae. The transcript has 3 exons. The record is from RefSeq and is a predicted model, not a curated record.
AUAAUCUUAAUUUUUAAAGAAAGAUAAAAUAAUUUAAAUUUCCUAUUACAAUUAAUGAACAUUUCACUUACCACAGCCAUUUGAGACUUUAUUUUGAAAAUCAAUUCGCCUAAACUUACCACAGCCACUUCCGGCGUGUGUCUACCAUUGCCUGAAGCUACCUCCUCAGAGUCUGCAGCUGGAUACUAUUGAGUUUCUUUGAGCUUCUCCU